AAGUCGAGCGCCCUGCUUGCAGGGAGCGGCAGACGGGUUAGUAACGCGUGGGAACGUGCCCUUCGGUGCGGAAAAACAGUUAGAAAUGACUGCUAAUACCGCAUACGACCUCCGGGUGAAAGAUUUAUCGCCGAAGGAUCGGCCCGCGUUAGAUUAGGUAGUUGGUGGGGUAAAGGCCUACCAAGCCUACGAUCUAUAGCUGUUCUGAGAGGAAGAUCAGCAACACUGGGACUGAGACACGGCCCAGACUCCUACGGGAGGCAGCAGUGGGGAAUAUUGGACAAUGGGCGCAAGCCUGAUCCAGCCAUGCCGCGUGGAUGAAGAAGGCCCUAGGGUUGUAAAGUCCUUUCACCGCCGAGGAUAAUGACGGUAGGCGGAGAAGAAGCCCCGGCUAAUUUCGUGCCAGCAGCCGCGGUAAUACGAAAGGGGCUAGCGUUGUUCGGAAUUACUGGGCGUAAAGCGCGCGUAGGCGGCAUUGUAAGUUGGGGGGUGAAAUCCCGGAGCUCAACUCCGGAACUGCCUCCAAAACUACAAAGCUAGAGGCCGUGAGAGGAGAGUGGAAUUCCGAGUGUAAGAGGUGAAAUUCGUAGAUAUUCGGAGGAACACCAGUGGCGAAGGCGACUCUCUGGCACGGUUCUGACGCUGAGGCGCGAAAGCGUGGGGGAGCAAACAGGA
This 675-nucleotide ribosomal RNA is filed under the name uncultured marine bacterium. RNAcentral's name for it is "bacterial SSU rRNA". It matches the Rfam family "Bacterial small subunit ribosomal RNA", at positions 59 to 777 of the family's 1533-position model. The record is from RNAcentral.